Long non-coding RNA from Cyprinus carpio carpio, 930 nucleotides. NCBI's taxonomy places the organism in Eukaryota, Metazoa, Chordata, Actinopteri, Cypriniformes, Cyprinidae. The record is from Ensembl.
CUUGCGCUAAUCAAAAUGAACAUAUGAGAAAUGAGGGCAGUGCAUCUCGAGCUAGAGGCCAUGGAGAAGCAGAUCUGUGACCUGGUGGAGAACCAGGCCCAGCUGAGAAAGCGGACAGCCAUGCUGGAAACAUCCCUGGCUGAUGCUCACAAGACCGGGGUAAGUAUAUAGCGUACUGCUAACACUCCCACCAACUCUACUCCAUGUGUUUCUCUGCACAGGCUCGUGCACCCAGGACGCGAUCUUCCCAGGCGUCCUUCACUCCGGCGCCAGGACACCACAGACCCUGAGUGCAUCAGCAGCAGAAGACGCGAGCCAAGCCCCAGGACUUACACCAGCUUCAUUCUGGAUCCAGCCCUUACAAAGACCUGAGAUGACCGAAAACCUGAGAAAAGAUGAUGCCAACCCCCCAGAGGACCUCACAUGAUGCCAACCCUCAGACAAUAUAAAAAACUUCCAAAUCAUGCAUUACAUGACAUUAACUUACUAAACUAAAUUUUACAUAUUGAUAUGUCAGUAUCAUAUUUGGUCAUGGUAAAAAUGGGUCAUCAGAGAAACACUAAUGAAUUUUUCACUGUUUUGGUCAAUUAUAUUCGACCAUUCAAAACUGAAAAGUGAUUUAAAAAAAAAAAAAAAUUGGAUAAAUAUUUUCAGUCGCCGAAAUUUCUGUUCAACACUAUUUGUGACCCUGGAGCACAAAACCAGUCUUAAGUGUCAAUUUUUGAAAAAAAAAGUAGUGUAUGGUUUAUUAGGAUCGGACAAUAUUUGGCCGAGAUACAACUAUUUAAAAAUCUGGAAUCUGAGGGUGCAAAAAAAUACAGAGAAAUCCGCCUUUGAAGAUGUCCAAAUGAUGUUCUUAGCAAUGCAUAUAUUUACAGUAUGAAAUUUACAAAACAUCUUCAUGGAACAUGAUCUUUACUUAAUAUCCUG